This 2907-nucleotide ribosomal RNA is filed under the name Salmonella enterica subsp. enterica serovar Typhimurium. Its description in RNAcentral is "23S ribosomal RNA". It matches the Rfam family "Bacterial large subunit ribosomal RNA". Lineage: Bacteria; Pseudomonadati; Pseudomonadota; Gammaproteobacteria; Enterobacterales; Enterobacteriaceae. The record is from RNAcentral.
GGUUAAGCGACUAAGCGUACACGGUGGAUGCCCUGGCAGUCAGAGGCGAUGAAGGGCGUGCUAAUCUGCGAUAAGCGCCGGUAAGGUGAUAUGAACCGUUAUAACCGGCGAUACCCGAAUGGGGAAACCCAGUGUGAUUCGUCACACUAUCAUUAACUGAAUCCAUAGGUUAAUGAGGCGAACCGGGGGAACUGAAACAUCUAAGUACCCCGAGGAAAAGAAAUCAACCGAGAUUCCCCCAGUAGCGGCGAGCGAACGGGGAGGAGCCCAGAGCCUGAAUCAGCAUGUGUGUUAGUGGAAGCGUCUGGAAAGGCGCGCGAUACAGGGUGACAGCCCCGUACACAAAAGCGCAUGUGCUGUGAGCUCGAUGAGUAGGGCGGGACACGUGGUAUCCUGUCUGAAUAUGGGGGGACCAUCCUCCAAGGCUAAAUACUCCUGACUGACCGAUAGUGAACCAGUACCGUGAGGGAAAGGCGAAAAGAACCCCGGCGAGGGGAGUGAAAAAGAACCUGAAACCGUGUACGUACAAGCAGUGGGAGCACAGGUUUACCUGUGUGACUGCGUACCUUUUGUAUAAUGGGUCAGCGACUUAUAUUCUGUAGCAAGGUUAACCGUAUAGGGGAGCCGGAGGGAAACCGAGUCUUAAUUGGGCGUUAAGUUGCAGGGUAUAGACCCGAAACCCGGUGAUCUAGCCAUGGGCAGGUUGAAGGUUGGGUAACACUAACUGGAGGACCGAACCGACUAAUGUUGAAAAAUUAGCGGAUGACCUGUGGCUGGGGGUGAAAGGCCAAUCAAACCGGGAGAUAGCUGGUUCUCCCCGAAAGCUAUUUAGGUAGCGCCUCGUGAACUCAUCUCCGGGGGUAGAGCACUGUUUCGGCUAGGGGGCCAUCCCGGCUUACCAACCCGAUGCAAACUGCGAAUACCGGAGAAUGUUAUCACGGGAGACACACGGCGGGUGCUAACGUCCGUCGUGAAGAGGGAAACAACCCAGACCGCCAGCUAAGGUCCCAAAGUCAUGGUUAAGUGGGAAACGAUGUGGGAAGGCCCAGACAGCCAGGAUGUUGGCUUAGAAGCAGCCAUCAUUUAAAGAAAGCGUAAUAGCUCACUGGUCGAGUCGGCCUGCGCGGAAGAUGUAACGGGGCUAAACUAUGCACCGAAGCUGCGGCAGCGACACUAUGUGUUGUUGGGUAGGGGAGCGUUCUGUAAGCCUGUGAAGGUGUGUCGUGAGGCAUGCUGGAGGUAUCAGAAGUGCGAAUGCUGACAUAAGUAACGAUAAAGCGGGUGAAAAGCCCGCUCGCCGGAAGACCAAGGGUUCCUGUCCAACGUUAAUCGGGGCAGGGUGAGUCGACCCCUAAGGCGAGGCCGAAAGGCGUAGUCGAUGGGAAACGGGUUAAUAUUCCCGUACUUGGUGUUACUGCGAAGGGGGGACGGAGAAGGCUAUGUUGGCCGGGCGACGGUUGUCCCGGUUUAAGCGUGUAGGUGUGUGUUCCAGGUAAAUCCGGUUCACUUUAACACUGAGGCGUGAUGACGAGGCACUACGGUGCUGAAGCAACAAAUGCCCUGCUUCCAGGAAAAGCCUCUAAGCAUCAGGUAACAUCAAAUCGUACCCCAAACCGACACAGGUGGUCAGGUAGAGAAUACCAAGGCGCUUGAGAGAACUCGGGUGAAGGAACUAGGCAAAAUGGUGCCGUAACUUCGGGAGAAGGCACGCUGACACGUAGGUGAAGUGAUUUACUCAUGGAGCUGAAGUCAGUCGAAGAUACCAGCUGGCUGCAACUGUUUAUUAAAAACACAGCACUGUGCAAACACGAAAGUGGACGUAUACGGUGUGACGCCUGCCCGGUGCCGGAAGGUUAAUUGAUGGGGUCAGCGCAAGCGAAGCUCCUGAUCGAAGCCCCGGUAAACGGCGGCCGUAACUAUAACGGUCCUAAGGUAGCGAAAUUCCUUGUCGGGUAAGUUCCGACCUGCACGAAUGGCGUAAUGAUGGCCAGGCUGUCUCCACCCGAGACUCAGUGAAAUUGAACUCGCUGUGAAGAUGCAGUGUACCCGCGGCAAGACGGAAAGACCCCGUGAACCUUUACUAUAGCUUGACACUGAACAUUGAGCCUUGAUGUGUAGGAUAGGUGGGAGGCUUUGAAGUGUGGACGCCAGUCUGCAUGGAGCCGACCUUGAAAUACCACCCUUUAAUGUUUGAUGUUCUAACGUGGACCCGUAAUCCGGGUUGCGGACAGUGUCUGGUGGGUAGUUUGACUGGGGCGGUCUCCUCCUAAAGAGUAACGGAGGAGCACGAAGGUUGGCUAAUCCUGGUCGGACAUCAGGAGGUUAGUGCAAUGGCAUAAGCCAGCUUGACUGCGAGCGUGACGGCGCGAGCAGGUGCGAAAGCAGGUCAUAGUGAUCCGGUGGUUCUGAAUGGAAGGGCCAUCGCUCAACGGAUAAAAGGUACUCCGGGGAUAACAGGCUGAUACCGCCCAAGAGUUCAUAUCGACGGCGGUGUUUGGCACCUCGAUGUCGGCUCAUCACAUCCUGGGGCUGAAGUAGGUCCCAAGGGUAUGGCUGUUCGCCAUUUAAAGUGGUACGCGAGCUGGGUUUAGAACGUCGUGAGACAGUUCGGUCCCUAUCUGCCGUGGGCGCUGGAGAACUGAGGGGGGCUGCUCCUAGUACGAGAGGACCGGAGUGGACGCAUCACUGGUGUUCGGGUUGUCAUGCCAAUGGCACUGCCCGGUAGCUAAAUGCGGAAGAGAUAAGUGCUGAAAGCAUCUAAGCACGAAACUUGCCCCGAGAUGAGUUCUCCCUGAGACUUAGAGUCUCCUGAAGGAACGUUGAAGACGACGACGUUGAUAGGCCGGGUGUGUAAGCGCAGCGAUGCGUUGAGCUAACCGGUACUAAUGAACCGUGAGGCUUAACCUU